This is a non-coding RNA of Acanthosepion pharaonis, 96 nucleotides long. The record is from the annotation of a GenBank genome assembly. NCBI's taxonomy places the organism in Eukaryota, Metazoa, Mollusca, Cephalopoda, Sepiida, Sepiidae.
UUCUGUUGAAACACCAGUUCUCGUCACUGAAGUUAAGCAAUGUCGAGCCUGGUCAGUACCAAGAUGAGUGACCAUUUGGGAAUAUUGGUGCUGUAA